AAUUGAUUAUUGUUUUAGGCGCCGAUCGUCAUGACGCCUUGGCGUAUUGUGCUAGGGAGUUGUAGGGCGAACUCCAGGUGAGUGGGCAGUUUUGUUUUCCGUAUACAUAUAUACUUACCGUUUUCCCAGAAAUUGAAAAUGCAUGAAAUUAUGCUUUAAAUGCAAUGUAUAAAAUUAUAUGAAAAGUAUAUUGAGAUGUGAAUUGAGAUGCCAUGCAUAAAAUUAUAUGCAAAGUAUAUAGAAAUGUGAAUCGAAUUGCCAUGCAUGAAAUGAUAUGAAAAGUAUGAAUUGAUAUAUGAUGCAUAUGUAUGAAUUGGUGCGGCGGACGCACAGGUGAGUAUCAGGUGAGUAUUUAAAUACUGUUAUGAUGAUGUUGAUAUAUUGAGCUCAAAUCCUGCACCAUGGUUUAGUGCUUAUAGUAUUCACCGCAUCGCACGCUCGCCUUGGAUCCAAGUAGAUGCUGGUCGCACAGUCCACGCGGAGUGGGUGCGACGGGCCAGUCGAAGAGUGUUAGUGAGAUUUCGACUGGUGGGUGACCUUAGAUUAUGUGCACAGAUGAUUGAUGAGAAAGCACUAGAGCGUAACUUGUGUGCAGAAGGCCGGACAGGUCACAGAGGUGACUCCGGCAGAGUGAGAGUGAUAGAUUUUGAGCUCUAGGUUCAACCGUGCAGGGCUAUUAGAGGGCCUCCGGUUGAUUACUUUCUUGCACCUGAUAUGAUUAUUGUUGAUGCAUCCAUACUUAACUGUUGAUUUUUAGACAUGGCAUGGCAUAUAACUGAUAUGAAAAAAUGUUGAAAAAAGUGAAUUGAAGUUUUGAGAAUAUAUAUGUAUAUUUAUAUUUUACAUUUCUGGGAAAGUAUACAGGUUUUACGGAGAGGGGUUACAACGUUUUGAGAAAUGUUUGGAUUUGGAAAAGAAUUGUUUUACUGACCCACUCAAUUUUGGUUUUGCGCCCCUCCAGGUUCAGGAAUCACAAAGGUGUGGUGACUACGAGGAAUUCGACGGUGUUCUGACAGAAUGGACAAAAUUAGGACUCACCUUUGGGUGUAUCAACUUAUAAAUUGUAUCUUAAAGCUUCCGUACUGUGCAAAUGGUUACGUCACUCUCACGUGACGGCCAGCAUGCCCUCCUUCGGGACGGGGUGUGUCA
Molecule: long non-coding RNA, 1149 nt
Filed under: Malus domestica (apple)
Lineage: Eukaryota; Viridiplantae; Streptophyta; Magnoliopsida; Rosales; Rosaceae
Description: long non-coding RNA (MDOM_LNC001286)
Source: RNAcentral